Non-coding RNA from Podarcis lilfordi (Lilford's wall lizard), 68 nucleotides. The record is from the annotation of a GenBank genome assembly. Lineage: Eukaryota; Metazoa; Chordata; Lepidosauria; Squamata; Lacertidae.
GCCGUAGCUCAGCUGUAGGGCACUGCCUUCUAUGCAGAAGGUGCCAGGUUCAAUCCCUGGAAUCUCCA